AAAAAUUUAGUUAAACCCCCCAUAACAUUAGCUUGUCAAGCUAAAAUUAUUAGAUUAAACCUAAUAAUUUUUA
Molecule: transfer RNA, 73 nt
Filed under: Cucujoidea sp. 30 KM-2017
Lineage: Eukaryota; Metazoa; Arthropoda; Insecta; Coleoptera
Description: tRNA-Asp
Rfam family: tRNA
About the family: Transfer RNA (tRNA) molecules are approximately 80 nucleotides in length. Their secondary structure includes four short double-helical elements and three loops (D, anti-codon, and T loops).
Source: RNAcentral